GGGGAGGGAAGCGGGCGGGCUCUUCAGCCGUUCCGGGGCUCGAGCCCAAGCCCAGCGCUCGCGGUUUCUGUUGCUCGCGCCCGAGCGCUUCCUUCCUGCCCUUUCUCGUUCUCUAGACCCUCGGGCCGCUGUUCAAUCGCUCCCUCACUCGCUAUCUCGGCCGUCGGACUCCGCCGCCGCCCCGCCGCUCCAGCUCCGUCUGUCACAGGAGCUGCCCCAGCGCCCUGACGUCACCGCGCCGCCGCCGCCCCAGACCCGCCAGGAAGAGGGAGGGGAGCGGAGGAGGGGCUGCGGCGCAUGCGCGGGCGCGGCUGGGCCCCUGAGUCGCCGUCUUCGUCCUGGCGAGCGGGCGAUCGCGGCCAGUGCUACUUGGCGGUACGGAGUGGCCGGUGGGCGAGCGUGCGCACGAGGCCCUGCUUUUCACGUCCCUCGUGCCGCUAUAACCUUGGAAGAGCCCCUUUUUUCCUCGACUCUGUUGUGUCCCCUCACGAACUCUGGUCCCACUCACCUAACCGCCCCGCUUUUGCCCCACUGCAUGCUGCGCUCUCUCCGCUUCCCCGGCGGACAGCGGGGACCAGUCGGCGCCCCUGCAUCCCGGCCCCGGUAGGUUCCAGAGUAAGAAAGCCCGGGCCAGGCUAUCGCCCAUUCUGCCUGCGGCCUGCUGUAUUAUCACCACCCCGCCAAAAAGAAAGGGAAGUAGGUUGGUUUGCUUGGGAGGAUUCGCUUUUAGAUGUGAUUCAGCUGUUAUUUUCCUUAGUCACACACCACGCAUCAGAGACUCUAGAAGUCUCGAAACUGACUCCCAAAGAAAGACCUGGAACUUUAUCCCUACAAGGAAUAUCGGCGAAAUAUAUACAAUAAAACCUUGGGCUGUGAGUAACUUGACC
This 887-nucleotide long non-coding RNA is filed under the name Heterocephalus glaber (naked mole-rat). RNAcentral describes it as "lncRNA (ENSHGLG00000045087.1)". Lineage: Eukaryota; Metazoa; Chordata; Mammalia; Rodentia; Bathyergidae. The record is from RNAcentral.